This 465-nucleotide ribosomal RNA is filed under the name uncultured bacterium. RNAcentral's name for it is "partial 16S ribosomal RNA". It matches the Rfam family "Bacterial small subunit ribosomal RNA", at positions 28 to 507 of the family's 1533-position model. The record is from RNAcentral.
GACGAACGCUGGCGGCGUGCUUAACACAUGCAAGUCGAACGGAAAGGCCCUGCUUGCAGGGUACUCGAGUGGCGAACGGGUGAGUAACACGUGGGUGAUCUGCCCUGCACUUCGGGAUAAGCCUGGGAAGCUGGGUCUAAUACCGGAUAGGAGCCAUUUUUAGUGUGAUGGUUGGAAAGUUUUUUCGGUGUAGGAUGAGCUCGCGGCCUAUCAGCUUGUUGGUGGGGUAAUGGCCUACCAAGGCGGCGACGGGUAGCCGGACUGAGAGGGUGGACGGCCACAUUGGGACUGAGAUACGGCCCAGACUCCUACGGGAGGCAGCAGUGGGGAAGAUUGCACAAUGGGCGCAAGCCUGAUGCAGCGACGCCGCGUGGGGGAUGACGGCCUUCGGGUUGUAAACUCCUUUCGCUAGGGACGAAGCUUUUUGUGACGGUACCUAGAGAAGAAGCACCGGCUAACUACGUG